This 301-nucleotide ribosomal RNA is filed under the name uncultured bacterium. Its description in RNAcentral is "partial 16S ribosomal RNA". It matches the Rfam family "Bacterial small subunit ribosomal RNA", at positions 509 to 808 of the family's 1533-position model. The record is from RNAcentral.
CAGUAGCCGCGGUAAAACGGGGGGGGCAAGUGUUAUUCGGAAUGACUGGGCGUAAAGGGCACGUAGGCGGUGAAAAGGGUGGAAAGUGAAAGUCGCCAAAACACUGGCGGGGUGCUUUCUUGACCAUUUCACUUGAGUGAGAUAGGGGAGAGUGGAAUUUCGUGUGGAGGGAUCAAAUCCUAAGAUAUACGAAGGAACGCCAACCGCGAAGGCAGCUCUCUGGGUCCCCACUGACGCUGGGGUGCGAAAGCAUGGGGAGCAAACAGGAUCAGAUACCCCCGUAGUCCCUGUCUCUUAUACA